UACUACAAUUUAGGGCACGGAAAAAAAAAGGAAUGAGGAAAAGGCACCCCAUCUCCUUGACUUUUCUUCAGGACCCUGUUUAAAAAUAGCCAUUCCUUUCCACAGGCAAUCUUUAAAGGCAGCAAGGUGUGACGCCCCAGACUGGCAGCUUGGCAAGAAAACAGCCCGUAGAUACCAACGCACAGGAAUCUGGAGUGCUUACUUUGACAGCCAGUCAGCGUUUGAAACAAAAGAAAUGAAACAAUUAAAUUUAUUUAUAUAUUCUACAGACAUAUAUGCACCAGACCAGCAGAAAUAAAAAAGUAAUUACUACUCACUUGAUGGCGUGCACUAAGGAAAGCAGAAAAAACAUAUAUAUAGAAAGCGUACACACAGCAGUAUUCGGUCUCUUCUGAUUAAACUUUUCACCUCGUAGAAGACAUUUAAAUUAAGAGAGCUGCUCGCAGCAAAACGGAUUGUUGUUGGGUUGUUUGCGGUAGAGGUGAUUAGGUUUAGUUUUCCCCUGUAUGAGCUUUGGGCUAGCUAUAAGGAGAAGUAUUUAGUGGGUCUGCUGUAUGUUACUAUAGAACAUGGAAACACAUAGCCGUAUGCAAAGGUGAUAUUUAGCAGUAGGCACUUCAUUCAUUAAAAAUGUAUUAAAUAAAAACAACAGACAAAAUGA
Molecule: long non-coding RNA, 661 nt
Organism: Pseudophryne corroboree (corroboree frog)
Lineage: Eukaryota; Metazoa; Chordata; Amphibia; Anura; Myobatrachidae
Exons: 2
Source: RefSeq, a predicted model, not a curated record